This 496-nucleotide ribosomal RNA is filed under the name uncultured bacterium. RNAcentral describes it as "partial 16S ribosomal RNA". It matches the Rfam family "Bacterial small subunit ribosomal RNA", at positions 28 to 506 of the family's 1533-position model. The record is from RNAcentral.
GAUGAACGCUGGCGGCGUGCCUAAUACAUGCAAGUCGAGCGAACGGACGAGAAGCUUGCUUCUCUGAUGUUAGCGGCGGACGGGUGAGUAACACGUGGAUAACCUACCUAUAAGACUGGGAUAACUUCGGGAAGCCGGAGCUAAUACCGGAUAAUAUUUUGAACCGCAUGGUUCAAAAGUGAAAGACGGUCUUGCUGUCACUUAUAGAUGGAUACGCGCUGCAUUAGCUAGUUGGUAAGGUAACGGCUUACCAAGGCAACGAUGCAUAGCCGACCUGAGAGGGGGAUGCGCCCCCAUGGAAAGGGAAACACGACCAAGACUCUGCGGGGGGCACGAAGAAGAAAUUUUCCGGAAAGGGCGGAAGGCAGAAGGAGAAAAGGCGCGGGAGUGAGGAAAGGCUUCGGAUCGUAAAACCUUGUUAUUAUGGAAAAACAUAUGAGUAAGGAACGGGACAACACUGGACGGUACCUAAGAAAAAGGCCACGGCUAACCACGG